GACGAACGCUGGCGGCGUGCCUAAUACAUGCAAGUAGAACGCUGAAGGAGGAGCUUGCUUCUCUGGAUGAGUUGCGAACGGGUGAGUAACGCGUAGGUAACCUGCCUGGUAGCGGGGGAAAACUAUUGGAAACGAUAGCUAAUACCGCAUAAGAGUAGAUGUUGCAUGACAUUUACUUAAAAGGUGCAAUUGCAUCACUACCAGAUGGACCUGCGUUGUAUUAGCUAGUUGGUGAGGUAACGGCUCACCAAGGCAACGAUACAUAGCCGACCUGAGAGGGUGAUCGGCCACACUGGGACUGAGACACGGCCCAGACUCCUACGGGAGGCAGCAGUAGGGAAUCUUCGGCAAUGGACGGAAGUCUGACCGAGCAACGCCGCGUGAGUGAAGAAGGUUUUCGGAUCGUAAAGCUCUGUUGUAAGAGAAGAACGAGUGUGAGAGUGGAAAGUUCACACUGUGACGGUAUCUUACCAGAAAGGGACGGCUAACUACGUG
This 495-nucleotide ribosomal RNA is filed under the name uncultured bacterium. RNAcentral's name for it is "partial 16S ribosomal RNA". It matches the Rfam family "Bacterial small subunit ribosomal RNA", at positions 28 to 507 of the family's 1533-position model. The record is from RNAcentral.